UGCUGAUGGUGAUGCAGAUCGCAAUAUGGUCCUUGGUAAAAGGUUUUUUGUCACUCCUUCAGACUCUGUUGCCAUUAUUGCUGCUAAUGCUGUUGAAGCUAUUCCAUACUUCUCUGCUGGUUUGAAGGGUGUUGCCAGGAGCAUGCCAACCUCUGCUGCACUAGAUGUGGUUGCCAAAAACUUGAACUUGAAGUUUUUUGAGGUUCCCACCGGCUGGAAAUUUUUUGGUAAUUUAAUGGAUGCAGGAAUGUGCUCUGUAUGUGGGGAAGAAAGUUUUGGAACUGGUUCUGACCAUAUUCGUGAGAAAGAUGGAAUUUGGGCAGUUUUGGCUUGGUUAUCUAUUCUUGCUUAUAAAAACAAGGGAAACCUUGAUGGUGGAAAGCUUGUGACAGUCGAAGACAUAGUUCGCCAACAUUGGGCCACCUAUGGUCGUCAUUAUUAUACUAGAUACGAUUACGAGAAUGUUGACGCUGGAGCAGCAAAGGAGCUAAUGGCAAAUCUGGUGAAGCUGCAAUCUUCACUUGCCGAAGUUAAUGGAAUUGUCCAAGGAAUCCGCUCGGAUGUGUCAAAGGUUGUCCAUGGUGAUGAAUUUGAGUAUAAAGAUCCAGUUGAUGGUUCCAUCUCCAAGCACCAG
Molecule: unclassified non-coding RNA, 634 nt
Filed under: Hevea brasiliensis (rubber tree)
Lineage: Eukaryota; Viridiplantae; Streptophyta; Magnoliopsida; Malpighiales; Euphorbiaceae
Source: RNAcentral